This 349-nucleotide unclassified non-coding RNA is filed under the name soil metagenome. RNAcentral describes it as "partial contains 5.8S ribosomal RNA, internal transcribed spacer 2, and large subunit ribosomal RNA". The stretch from base 1 to 120 matches the Rfam family "5.8S ribosomal RNA", at positions 35 to 154 of the family's 154-position model. The record is from RNAcentral.
GAUGAAGAACGUAGCGAAAUGCGAUAAGUAAUGUGAAUUGCAGAAUUCAGUGAAUCAUCGAAUCUUUGAACGCACAUUGCGCCCGCCAGUAUUCUGGCGGGCAUGCCUGUCCGAGCGUCAUUUCAACCCUCGAACCCCUCCGGGGGGUCGGCGUUGGGGAUCGGCUCCUCACCGGGCCGCCCCCGAAAUCCAGUGGCGGUCUCGCCGCAGCCUCUCCUGCGCAGUAGUUUGCACACUCGCACCGGGAGCGCGGCGCGGCCACAGCCGUAAAACACCCCAAACUCUGAAAUGUUGACCUCGGAUCAGGUAGGAAUACCCGCUGAACUUAAGCAUAUCAAUAAGCGGAGGA